RNAcentral lists this ribosomal RNA (468 nucleotides) under uncultured bacterium. Its description in RNAcentral is "partial 16S ribosomal RNA". It matches the Rfam family "Bacterial small subunit ribosomal RNA", at positions 28 to 507 of the family's 1533-position model. The record is from RNAcentral.
GACGAACGCUGGCGGCGUGCUUAACACAUGCAAGUCGAACGGAAAGGCCCUGCUUUUGUGGGGUGCUCGAGUGGCGAACGGGUGAGUAACACGUGAGUAACCUGCCCUUGACUUUGGGAUAACUUCAGGAAACUGGGGCUAAUACCGGAUAGGAGCUCCUGCUGCAUGGUGGGGGUUGGAAAGUUUCGGCGGUUGGGGAUGGACUCGCGGCUUAUCAGCUUGUUGGUGGGGUAGUGGCUUACCAAGGCUUUGACGGGUAGCCGGCCUGAGAGGGUGACCGUCCACAUUGGGACUGAGAUACGGCCCAGACUCCCACGGGAGGCAGCAGUGGGGAAUAUUGCACAAUGGGCGGAAGCCUGAUGCAGCAACGCCGCGUGCGGGAUGACGGCCUUCGGGUUGUAAACCGCUUUCGCCUGUGACGAAGCGUGAGUGACGGUAAUGGGUAAAGAAGCACCGGCUAACUACGUG